RNAcentral lists this ribosomal RNA (273 nucleotides) under uncultured bacterium. RNAcentral describes it as "partial 16S ribosomal RNA". It matches the Rfam family "Bacterial small subunit ribosomal RNA", at positions 524 to 795 of the family's 1533-position model. The record is from RNAcentral.
GACGGAGGGCGCAAGCGUUGUUCGGAAUUACUGGGCGUAAAGCGCGGGCAGGUGGUCUGUUAAGUCGUUUGUGAAAAUCCGGGGCUCAACCCCGUGAAAUGCGUACGAUACUGGCAGGCUGGAGAUCGGUAGAGGCUAGCGGAAUUCCUGGUGUAGCGGUGGAAUGCGUAGAUAUCAGGAAGAACACCCGUGGCGAAGGCGGCUAGCUGGGCCGAGUCUGACACUCAUCCGCGAAAGCGUGGGGAGCAAACAGGAUUAGAUACCCCCGUAGUC